CCCUACCCAAGUAUAUAUAUACAAGAUUUAUAUAAACAAAGGAAAGAUGCAUCAUAAAGAUUUUAGAACUCAGAAUAGGUCUUCAAUUAAUCCCUUUUUGGCGACCCUUCAAAAAUCAAGCUUUCAAAACAGAAAUAUGCACCUCCCUUGGUUAGUCAAAUAUCAAUAUGCAGCUACACUCUUCUUCGUUACCAUUGCCCUCACCAAAGUUUCCUGUUUUCAGUUCAACUUCCCUUUCUUCCCAGAUGACUCUAAUCUAUGGCUGAGCAAGAGUUCAAGUAUAUUAUUUGAUGCAAUCAUAGUCACCCCUGAUAUUAUAGAUCCCAUAGAUCAUUAUUCUGGACGUGUUUUCUACAUAAAGCCAUACCAGCUUUGGAAAGAGAAGAACAACCAAAACCAAAUAGCUUCCUUCAACACCACUUUUGUGCUCCACAUAACUCCAGAAACUACCCCUGGUGGUGAAGGCUUGGCCUUUAUCUUAACUUCAGAUAGGACUAUCCCAGAAAACAGUGAUGGACAAUGGCUUGGUAUUGUAAAUGCUACUUCCAAUGGAACUUCACAGCCUGGUAUUGUAGCGGUGGAGUUUGACACAAGACACAGUUUCAAAGAAGAUGGCCCUGACAAUCACGUUGGCAUCAACAUAAACAGCAUCAACUCCAUCCAACAGGUUUCGUUAAUGAACAAUCGGCUCAAUCUAUCUUCAGGUCAAGAUGUCAAAAUUCACAUUCAAUACAUUAAUGACACAAUAUCAGUUUUUGGUGCCAUGAGUGGAACUUCUGAAGAAUCCAUGGAGACCCUCUUGGUAUCUCCACCUCUUAAUUUGUCUUCCUUUCUUCAAAAGGAGGUUUACAUUGGCUUCUCGGCCUCAACAAGUAACUACACGCAGCGGAACUGUGUCAGAUCGUGGGAAUUCAGCGGGGAUGAUAUUAGGGAUGAUGACAAAAGUCUCUUGUAUGUGGUUUAUGUUGCCGUUCCAAUCGUGAUUGUUUUAAUUAUCAUUGGUGGGUUGGUGAUCUUUUUCUUGCGCCGGCAAAAGAUUCGCCAUAUGGAGGGGCCAGAAGAUGCAUAUCCAAGGAUAGAGGAUCAGAUUAAAUAUUCCUCUAUGGCUCCAAAGAAGUUUAGGCUAAGGGAACUAACGAAAGCAACUGGUGGAUUCAGCCUUCAAAACAAGCUUGGACAAGGCGGGUUUGGAACUGUGUAUAAGGGACUACUGGAAAAUAAAGAGGUAGCUGUAAAGAGAGUUUCCAAAAACUCACGCCAAGGGAAGCAAGAGUUUUUGGCAGAAGUGACAACAAUCGGAAGCCUUCACCAUAGAAAUUUGGUGAAACUCACUGGUUGGUGCUAUGAGAAUAGAGAGCUUCUCCUUGUGUACGAGUUCAUGCCUAAUGGAAGCCUAGACAAGUACCUCUUUGGUGACAAAGAUUGUGGUGAUAAUUAUAACUUUAAAACACUGGACUGGGAAACUAGGCGAAGAGUGAUUAAUGGGGUGGCUCAAGCACUUGACUACCUUCACGAUGGGUGUGAGAAGAGGGUUCUCCACAGAGACAUCAAGGCCAGCAACAUAAUGCUGGACUCAGAUUACAAUGCCAAGCUGGGAGA
RNAcentral lists this small RNA (1599 nucleotides) under Vigna angularis var. angularis. RNAcentral's name for it is "Non-protein coding transcript". The record is from RNAcentral. Lineage: Eukaryota; Viridiplantae; Streptophyta; Magnoliopsida; Fabales; Fabaceae.